This 74-nucleotide transfer RNA is filed under the name Clostridiales bacterium. RNAcentral's name for it is "tRNA-Gly". It matches the Rfam family "tRNA". Rfam says of the family: Transfer RNA (tRNA) molecules are approximately 80 nucleotides in length. Their secondary structure includes four short double-helical elements and three loops (D, anti-codon, and T loops). Further hydrogen bonds mediate the characteristic L-shaped molecular structure. tRNAs have two regions of fundamental functional importance: the anti-codon, which is responsible for specific mRNA codon recognition, and the 3' end, to which the tRNAs corresponding amino acid is attached (by aminoacyl-tRNA synthetases). tRNAs cope with the degeneracy of the genetic code in two manners: having more than one tRNA (with a specific anti-codon) for a particular amino acid; and 'wobble' base-pairing, i.e. permitting non-standard base-pairing at the 3rd anti-codon position. Lineage: Bacteria; Bacillati; Bacillota; Clostridia; Eubacteriales. The record is from RNAcentral.
GCGGAUAUAGUUUAGUGGUAAAACUUCAGCUUCCCAAGCUGGCUAUGGGGGUUCGAUUCCCCUUAUCCGCUCCA